This 253-nucleotide ribosomal RNA is filed under the name uncultured bacterium. Its description in RNAcentral is "partial 16S ribosomal RNA". It matches the Rfam family "Bacterial small subunit ribosomal RNA", at positions 524 to 776 of the family's 1533-position model. The record is from RNAcentral.
UACAGAGGGGGCAAGCGUUGUUCGGAAUUACUGGGCGUAAAGGGCGCGUAGGCGGCCGCCUAAGUCAGACGUGAAAUCCCUCGGCUCAACCGGGGAACUGCGUCUGAUACUGGGUGGCUUGAAUCCGGGAGAGGGAUGCGGAAUUCCAGGUGUAGCGGUGAAAUGCGUAGAUAUCUGGAGGAACACCGGUGGCGAAGGCGGCAUCCUGGACCAACACUGACGCUGAGGAGCGAAAGCCAGGGGAGCAAACGGG